Molecule: long non-coding RNA, 644 nt
Organism: Eupeodes corollae
Lineage: Eukaryota; Metazoa; Arthropoda; Insecta; Diptera; Syrphidae
Exons: 3
Source: RefSeq, a predicted model, not a curated record
GUUUUAUUUCGGAUAUUGUUUUCGCUCGCGGAUACAUUCGUUGUCACGGUCACACUGCUAGCAGAAAGUCCAAAAUUAAAGAUCCAAUUGGAAAACUCAAGAAGUUGGUAUUGCGUAGGCAUUUUUUCUAUAAGCUCUUGGAGAAGUGACGAAUUAUUCAGCUCAUCUUGCAGUCCGCAUGCUUCGAUGGUGGCGAUAAGACUUUUGACGUUAAUGGCAAAGACUGCAGGAUCUUUUCUGGUUGCCCGAAAAGAAGUUUAAGAGUUGAAAUUGCAGCAGGAACGCAGGAUGGAUGAACAAGGAUAUGUUGUACUGAGCGAAGAGCUUCUCCUCGAAGGCACCUUUGCAUCCGUAGAAGAUUUUCGGCAUCGGUCAGCCCACAGAUCAUUGUAGACCAGUCAAAUGUGGAACUAAAUACUGGCCACUCUUCCGGUUGGCCGGAGAAUAUAGGCAGCUCUUUUGGGACGGAGUGCCUCGCCUGUAUUUGCUCUUUUGUUAAAUUUGAACAUGCUAUUUGUGUUGAUGAUGUGAAUGAAUUUGAAUUUAGAUUGCCACUACUCGCUGGAAAUAUCCCAUCUUGAGUAUUAACGUUUUGCGGGUGUAUACAUCCGCCUUCUGAAGGGCGACUUGAAUAUAUAAGUGAU